Molecule: ribosomal RNA, 319 nt
Filed under: uncultured eukaryote
Lineage: Eukaryota
Description: partial 18S ribosomal RNA
Rfam family: Eukaryotic small subunit ribosomal RNA
Source: RNAcentral
CCCUUAGAUGAUUUGGGCUGCACGCGCGCUACACUGACCCUAACAAUGAGCAACUGUCUGGCCUGAGAUGGCUGGGUAGCCUUUUCAACCCAUGUCAUGAUUGGGCUAGAUUUUUAUAAGUCUUGAUCUCUAACGAGGAAUCCCUAGUAUGCGUGAAUCAUCAAUCCAUGCAGAUUAUGUCCCUGCCCUUUGUACACACCGCCCGUCGCUCCUACUGAUUGGGUGAUCCGGUGAGCUGUUCGGCCAUAGCAAUGUUUCUUGAGCAGGGCAAUGAAUGUUUCGCAAACCUUGCCACUUAGAGGAAGGAGAAGUCGUAACA